AUCCAGCUGAUGAGUUCCAUAUGGGACGAAACGGGUGUCCUAGAU
This 45-nucleotide non-coding RNA is filed under the name Schistosoma curassoni. Lineage: Eukaryota; Metazoa; Platyhelminthes; Trematoda; Strigeidida; Schistosomatidae. The record is from RNAcentral.